This 497-nucleotide ribosomal RNA is filed under the name uncultured bacterium. RNAcentral's name for it is "partial 16S ribosomal RNA". It matches the Rfam family "Bacterial small subunit ribosomal RNA", at positions 28 to 507 of the family's 1533-position model. The record is from RNAcentral.
GAUGAACGCUGGCGGCGUGCCUAAUACAUGCAAGUCGAGCGAACAGAUGAGGAGCUUGCUCCUCUUACGUUAGCGGCGGACGGGUGAGUAACACGUGGAUAACCUACCUAUAAGACUGGGAUAACUUCGGGAAACCGGAGCUAAUACCGGAUAAUAUAUUGAACCGCAUGGUUCAAUAGUGAAAGACGGUUUUGCUGUCACUUAUAGAUGGAUCCGCGCCGCAUUAGCUAGUUGGUAAGGUAACGGCUUACCAAGGCAACGAUGCGUAGCCGACCUGAGAGGGUUAUCGGCCACACUGGAACUGAGACACGGUCCAGACUCCUACGGGAGGCAGCAGUAGGGAAUCUUCCGCAAUGGGCGAAAGCCUGACGGAGCAACGCCGCGUGAGUGAUGAAGGUCUUCGGAUCGUAAAACUCUGUUAUUAGGGAAGAACAAAUGUGUAAGUAACUAUGCACGUCUUGACGGUACCUAAUCAGAAAGCCACGGCUAACUACGUG